RNAcentral lists this ribosomal RNA (496 nucleotides) under uncultured bacterium. RNAcentral's name for it is "partial 16S ribosomal RNA". It matches the Rfam family "Bacterial small subunit ribosomal RNA", at positions 29 to 507 of the family's 1533-position model. The record is from RNAcentral.
AUGAACGCUGGCGGCGUGCCUAAUACCUGCAAGUCGAGCGAACGGACGAGAAGCUUGCUUCCCUGAUGUUAGCGGCGGACGGGUGAGUAACACGUGGAUAACCUACCUAUAAGACUGGGAUAACUUCGGGAAACCGGAGCUAAUACCGGAUAAUAUUUUGAACCGCAUGGUUCAAAAAUGAAAGACGGUCUUGCUGUCACUUAUAGAUGGAUCCGAGCUGCAUUAGCUAGUUGGUAAGGUAACGGCUUACCAAGGCAACGAUGCAUAGCCGACCUGAGAGGGUGAUCGGCCACACUGGAACUGAGACACGGUCCAGACUCCUACGGGAGGCAGCAGUAGGGAAUCUUCCGCAAAGGGCGAAAGCCUGACGGAGCAACGCCGCGUGAGUGAUAAAGGUCUUCGGAUCGUAAAACUCUGUUAUUAGGGAAGAACAUAUGUGUAAGUAACUGUGCACAUCUUGACGGUACCUAAUCAGAAAGCCACGGCUAACUACGUG